UACGUAGGGUGCAAGCGUUGUCCGGAAUUAUUGGGCGUAAAGAGCUCGUAGGCGGUCUGUCACGUCGGCUGUGAAAUCCCGAGGCUCAACCUCGGGUCUGCAGUCGAUACGGGCAAACUAGAGUAUUGCAGGGGAGACUGGAAUUCCUGGUGUAGCGGUGAAAUGCGCAGAUAUCAGGAGGAACACCGGUGGCGAAGGCGGGUCUCUGGGCCGUAACUGACGCUGAGGAGCGAAAGCAUGGGGGAGCGAACAGG
Molecule: ribosomal RNA, 254 nt
Filed under: uncultured bacterium
Lineage: Bacteria
Description: partial 16S ribosomal RNA
Rfam family: Bacterial small subunit ribosomal RNA
Source: RNAcentral